AAAAAAAUAAAAAAAAAAAAAAAAAAUUCUGUUGGGUGAACCUGCGGAAGGAUCAUUAACGAAUCAAACAAGUUCAUCUUGUUUCCGUUGGGGAACCUGCGGAGGGAUCAUUACAGAGUUGCAAAACUCCCAAACCAUCGUGAACGUUACCUAUAUCGUUGCUUCGGCGGGUGGCUCGGCCUCGGCCCUGCCCUAGGCCCCUCUCGGGGGCCCGCCGGAGGUCUACCAAACUCUUGAAUUUACAUGGCCUCUGUGAGUCUUCUGUACUGAAUAAGUCAAAACUUUCAACAACGGAUUUCUUGGUUCUGGCAUCGAUGAAGAACGCAGCGAAAUGCGAUAAGUAAUGUGAAUUGCAGAAUUCAGUGAAUCAUCGAAUCUUUGAACGCACAUUGCGCCCGCCAGUAUUCUGGCGGGCAUGCCUGUCCGAGCGUCAUUUCAACCAUCAAGCCCCCGGCUUGUGUUGGGGACCUGCGGCACACCCGCAGGCCCUGAAAACCAGUGGCGGGCUCGCUGUCCACACCGAGCGUAGUAGCAUAUCUUUGUCUCGCUCAGGGCGUGCGGCGGGUUCCGGCCGUGAAACCCACCUUCUCGAAGGUACCCAAAGGUUGACCUCGGAUCAGGUAGGAAACCCGGUUCC
RNAcentral lists this ribosomal RNA (637 nucleotides) under fungal sp. RNAcentral describes it as "eukaryotic LSU rRNA". The stretch from base 280 to 433 matches the Rfam family "5.8S ribosomal RNA". The record is from RNAcentral. Lineage: Eukaryota; Fungi.